GAACAACAGAGACAAAAUACAAUAUGGAAAUGACUUAAUGGGGUAUGGCCUCAUCUCCGAUGAAUGCUAAUGACAUAUGCUGAUACCCUUUUGCUGGGAAAGUUAAACGAGCAUUCAGACCAGUCUUCCAGAUUGAACUUUCGUAAACUACAUUAGAAUUCACAGAGGUUGCCUGCCCAAUACUUAACCUGCUUUCAGUCAAACCAAGCACUGGCAGACACAAGAUAACUAGCUAGAUUUAAAAAAUAAAAAAUAACUUCAUAAUAGCACUUAUUCCAUGAUCGAACGUUCUAAACACACGGUUUGGCAAUUUCCGGUCAGUCUAGUUGUUAUCGACGAUAUAACUUUACUACCACUAUGUCGCAGUUUUUUACUAGGUGUCUUCAGGACUUGCCUCAAAUUCAUAUUAAUGAUGUACAUCGAAUUGUUAAAUCAGCCUCCGAGACUCCAGCUAGCAAGAAUGAAAAGGGGUUCAAGAUGUAUAUAGGAAGCUACAUAGACAACUAUGAAGACGUAUCUUCACAGAUGGUGUUAAAGCACUCCGUACCAGUGAUAGUGGUCCAAAGCCACUGCUCCUGUGUUGCAGGAAGUGCUCUGUGCAAUCAUCUGGUGGCCCUUCUUUACCAGACAGCACACUACUCUCAACUAAACAUUCCUGCUGCACCACCAGUUCACAGCUGCACAGACACAGAACAGCAUUGGCACAAGCCAAGAACACUUGGUGUGAAGCCAGGUCCGGUUGGUGGGAUAGAGUUCCGUAAACCUAUUAACUUGUGUGCUGAUGGAAUAAGAUGUUCUCUCUACAAAGCACUCAAUGGAUACAUGCUUGACCUGGACUCUCUCCGCGUCUCAGAAACAUAUGCCAACUUUUCUCCACUUCCUGCCCCUCUUGGGACAACAAUGGAAAUGUCAGCUGACAUGCCCCUGGUUGAGUCCUCCUUUGGGCCAGUGCAAUGCGGCAGUGUUCUGUCCUAUCAGCUUCCACAGCCAAAGACCCAUGAAAUUGUGAAGAUUGCCGAUGCCUCUUCUCCACCAAUACUUCCAUUAGAUGGCUUACAGGCUUCAGUCUUCCCAGUGUGCUUACGUCCUUAGCCAUCAGGAGCAGUUCCACCUCAAGGCAUUAGAGACAACCUACGAGAUGUCACAAAGUCGAGGUUGCUACAAGGGAGCAGAGCAGCAGCCCAGAAUUGCAUCAGCUCAGGAAAAUGAGAAUAACAUCCUCUCGUUUCCAAGAGGUUUGCCAUGUCUGGGGCGAGACCUCAGCUGACCACCUAGUGCACCCAGGUGCUCCGUGGUUAGGAUCCUCUCCAGGUGGAAUCAUAUUUGAUCCCAGUGUGAGACCACACUUUGGACUCUUAGAGGUCAAGUUAUGUUGACUGCCCUUACCUAAAGAUACAGAAUGGAGAGCUGAAGUUGAAGAGAUCUCAUGCUUACUACUGGCAGGUGAAAGGUCAAAUCCUUCUCACAGGUUGUAGCUGGUGUGACUUUGUCAUCUGUGCACAGGAGGACAUUCUAGUUGAAAGGAUAUUUAAAGAUCUACAGGUUUAAAAAGCUAUAAGAGAGAAGGUUGACCACUUAUUUUUACCACUACUUGCAGAAGUGUCUCUCGCACCUGAAUGGAUCCCCUGCAUGGGUGCCAAGUUUAGUGGUUUUAUGAAAAAUAAGUAUUGAUGUUCUUGUGAAGAAAUCUAUAGUAGAAUAGAUUUGUUUUAAAACAUGUAUUUCAGCAAAUGUUCAACAGUUCAGUUAAUCAAUUACACAUUUCUAACAUUGUAUUCAAUCUUGCAUUCUGUCUGUACUGUGUUUACUUGAUUUCUUUCCCCCACCCCUGUUACUCAUUGCCUAAUUAAAGCCAAUACAAGCUCCACACAAACUGAUAUUCACUACAACACAAAUGAUUGAUACAUGUCAUAGAUAAACAAAUUAUUAUUUUGCUGCUAGCAAAUAAACACAUGUACAUUUACACUGGCUUGGACCAUACUCUGGACCGGAUCAGAGACGGCACAGUCCAUAGGCAGCGCACCUUGUUCUUCAUCCCCCUCAGUCGGAGCAGGACGUUUCAGUCUUCUUUCCCAAACACCAGAUCUCUUUUGAAUUUGCCAGUUUCAUGCGAAGACAGUAGGAACAACACCUCUUUUUAGGUAUUGUCCCCGAACCCCCCCCACACAUUUUUCCCUCAACAAGGUCACUCUCGACGAAAUGUGUACUACACACCUUUGUGUGUUUGGUGACAGUAAAGUUGUCACGACGUACUGCCCCAACCACCUUUUUCUGAGCUCUACAUCGACUGGGAAACGAUGGAAGCUCACAAUACCAUUACAUUUGGAAGAAACUGAACACAGAGACACUGAACAAUGUUCAUUAGCACCUCCUUCGCGGGGCUGUAAUUUAAACGUAGUAAUUGCGAACUAUUUCAGCCAGAAAUGCAUCGACGACAGCUAGUAAGCUAAUGAUAAAAACAAUAGCGGAAGUCAUCAACCCGGUCUGAAGUAAAUUAGAACGUUGGAGGCGGAAUAAUGCAUUUAGCCUAUUACCAGCUACUGUAGCUGGAUGCGAGUUGACUCACUGAGUAUCGUGAAUACAGCGUUAGCGUAACUGCGUUCAAACAGGGCUGCAAUGAAAACGAAUGGGCCUACAACUAAUAUGUUAGCGUCAAACUUUGACAAGGCAAUGGACAAAUAGUAUUUGAGACAAGCUGAAAAAACAGACCUCUUCUGGCGCAAUAUUUACUUUGUUCCGUGUUACGACGUAUCGUACGUAGUUUAAUG
This is a long non-coding RNA of Oncorhynchus tshawytscha (Chinook salmon), 2768 nucleotides long. NCBI's taxonomy places the organism in Eukaryota, Metazoa, Chordata, Actinopteri, Salmoniformes, Salmonidae. The record is from Ensembl.